AAUAUUGGACAAUGGGCGGAAGCCUGAUCCAGCAACGCCGCGUGAGGGAUGACGGCCUUCGGGUUGUAAACCUCUUUCACCUGUGACGAAGCCUUUCGGGGUGACGGUAGCGGGAGAAGAAGCACCGGCCAACUACGUGCCAGCAGCCGCGGUAAUACGUAGGGUGCGAGCGUUGUCCGGGAUUAUUGGGCGUAAAGGGCUCGUAGGCGGUUCGUCGCGUCGGGAGUGAAAUUCCACGGCUUAACUGUGGGCUUGCUUUCGAUACGGGCGGACUGGAGGUAGGCAGGGGAGAACGGAAUUCCUGGUGUAGCGGUGGAAUGCGCAGAUAUCAGGAGGAACACCGGUGGCGAAGGCGGUUCUCUGGGCCUUACCUGACGCUGAGGAGCGAAAGCGUGGGGAGCGAACAGGAUUAGAUACCCUGGUAGUCCACGCCGUAAACGUUGGGCGCUAGGUGUGGGGGGCGUCUUGUUCUCCGUGCCGCAGCUAACGCAUUAAGCGCCCCGCCUGGGGAGUACGGCCGCAAGGCUA
RNAcentral lists this ribosomal RNA (528 nucleotides) under uncultured Actinomycetes bacterium. Its description in RNAcentral is "bacterial SSU rRNA". It matches the Rfam family "Bacterial small subunit ribosomal RNA", at positions 360 to 896 of the family's 1533-position model. Lineage: Bacteria; Bacillati; Actinomycetota; Actinomycetes. The record is from RNAcentral.